CCUACGUGAGGCAGCAGUAGGGAAUAUUGCUCAAUGGGGGAAACCCUGAAGCAGCAACGCCGCGUGGAGGAUGAAGGUUUUCGGAUUGUAAACUCCUUUUGGUAGAGAAGAUAAUUACGGUAUCUAACAAACAAUCACCGGCUAACUCCGGGCCAGCAUCCGCCGUAAUACGGAGGGUGAAAGCGUUACUCGGAAUCACUGGGCGUAAAUGGCGCGUAGGCGGGAUAGCCAGUCAAAUGUGAAAUCCUAUGGCUUAACCAUAGAACUGCAUUUGAAACUGUUAUUCUAGAGUAUGGGAGAGGUAGGUGGAAUUCUUGGUGUAGGGGUAAAAUCCGUAGAUAUCAAGAGGAAUACUCAUUGCGAAGGCGACCUGCUAGAACAUAACUGACGCGGAUGCGCGAAAGCGUGGGGAGCAAACAGGAUUAGAUACCCGAGUAGUC
Molecule: ribosomal RNA, 440 nt
Filed under: uncultured bacterium
Lineage: Bacteria
Description: partial 16S ribosomal RNA
Rfam family: Bacterial small subunit ribosomal RNA
Source: RNAcentral